This 1372-nucleotide ribosomal RNA is filed under the name uncultured bacterium. RNAcentral describes it as "bacterial SSU rRNA". It matches the Rfam family "Bacterial small subunit ribosomal RNA", at positions 28 to 1381 of the family's 1533-position model. The record is from RNAcentral.
GAUGAACGCUGGCGGCGUGCCUAAUACAUGCAAGUCGAGCGAACGGACGAGAAGCUUGCUUCUCUGAUGUUAGCGGCGGACGGGUGAGUAACACGUGGAUAACCUACCUAUAAGACUGGGAUAACUUCGGGAAACCGGAGCUAAUACCGGAUAAUAUUUUGAACCGCAUGGUUCAAAAGUGAAAGACGGUCUUGCUGUCACUUAUAGAUGGAUCCGCGCUGCAUUAGCUAGUUGGUAAGGUAACGGCUUACCAAGGCAACGAUGCAUAGCCGACCUGAGAGGGUGAUCGGCCACACUGGAACUGAGACACGGUCCAGACUCCUACGGGAGGCAGCAGUAGGGAAUCUUCCGCAAUGGGCGAAAGCCUGACGGAGCAACGCCGCGUGAGUGAUGAAGGUCUUCGGAUCGUAAAACUCUGUUAUUAGGGAAGAACAUAUGUGUAAGUAACUGUGCACAUCUUGACGGUACCUAAUCAGAAAGCCACGGCUAACUACGUGCCAGCAGCCGCGGUAAUACGUAGGUGGCAAGCGUUAUCCGGAAUUAUUGGGCGUAAAGCGCGCGUAGGCGGUUUUUUAAGUCUGAUGUGAAAGCCCACGGCUCAACCGUGGAGGGUCAUUGGAAACUGGAAAACUUGAGUGCAGAAGAGGAAAGUGGAAUUCCAUGUGUAGCGGUGAAAUGCGCAGAGAUAUGGAGGAACACCAGUGGCGAAGGCGACUUUCUGGUCUGUAACUGACGCUGAUGUGCGAAAGCGUGGGGAUCAAACAGGAUUAGAUACCCUGGUAGUCCACGCCGUAAACGAUGAGUGCUAAGUGUUAGGGGGUUUCCGCCCCUUAGUGCUGCAGCUAACGCAUUAAGCACUCCGCCUGGGGAGUACGACCGCAAGGUUGAAACUCAAAGGAAUUGACGGGGACCCGCACAAGCGGUGGAGCAUGUGGUUUAAUUCGAGGCAACGCGAAGAGCCUUACCAAAUCUUGACAUCCUUUGACAACUCUAGAGAUAGAGCCUUCCCCUUCGGGGGACAAAGUGACAGGUGGUGCAUGGUUGUCGUCAGCUCGUGUCGUGAGAUGUUGGGUUAAGUCCCGCAACGAGCGCAACCCUUAAGCUUAGUUGCCAUCAUUAAGUUGGGCACUCUAAGUUGACUGCCGGUGACAAACCGGAGGAAGGUGGGGAUGACGUCAAAUCAUCAUGCCCCUUAUGAUUUGGGCUACACACGUGCUACAAUGGACAAUACAAAGGGCAGCGAAACCGCGAGGUCAAGCAAAUCCCAUAAAGUUGUUCUCAGUUCGGAUUGUAGUCUGCAACUCGACUACAUGAAGCUGGAAUCGCUAGUAAUCGUAGAUCAGCAUGCUACGGUGAAUACGUUCCCGGGUCU